GGGCCUGUAGCUCAGCUGGUUAGAGCCACCGGCUCAUAACCGGGAGGUCGGAGGUUCGAAUCCUCCCAGGCCCACCA
RNAcentral lists this transfer RNA (77 nucleotides) under Thermosulfurimonas dismutans. Its description in RNAcentral is "tRNA-Met". It matches the Rfam family "tRNA". From Rfam's summary of the family: Transfer RNA (tRNA) molecules are approximately 80 nucleotides in length. Their secondary structure includes four short double-helical elements and three loops (D, anti-codon, and T loops). The record is from RNAcentral. Lineage: Bacteria; Pseudomonadati; Thermodesulfobacteriota; Thermodesulfobacteria; Thermodesulfobacteriales; Thermodesulfobacteriaceae.